This 253-nucleotide ribosomal RNA is filed under the name uncultured bacterium. RNAcentral describes it as "partial 16S ribosomal RNA". It matches the Rfam family "Bacterial small subunit ribosomal RNA", at positions 524 to 776 of the family's 1533-position model. The record is from RNAcentral.
UACGUAGGGUGCAAGCGUUAAUCGGAAUUACUGGGCGUAAAGCGUGCGCAGGCGGUUUUGUAAGUCUGACGUGAAAUCCCCGGGCUUAACCUGGGAAUUGCGCUGGAGACUGCAAGGCUGGAGUCUGGCAGAGGGGGGUAGAAUUCCACGUGUAGCAGUGAAAUGCGUAGAGAUGUGGAGGAACACCGAUGGCGAAGGCAGCCCCCUGGGUCAAGACUGACGCUCAUGCACGAAAGCGUGGGGAGCAAACAGG